RNAcentral lists this ribosomal RNA (252 nucleotides) under uncultured bacterium. Its description in RNAcentral is "partial 16S ribosomal RNA". It matches the Rfam family "Bacterial small subunit ribosomal RNA", at positions 524 to 776 of the family's 1533-position model. The record is from RNAcentral.
GACGUAGGGAGCGAGCGUUGUCCGGAUUCAUUGGGCGUAAAGGGUCCGUAGGCGGCUCAGCAAGUCACUUGUGAAAUCUCCGGGCUUAACUCGGAACGGUCAAGUGAUACUGUCGGACUAGAGUACAGAAGGGGCAACUGGAAUUCUCGGUGUAGCGGUGAAAUGCGUAGAUAUCGAGAGGAACACCUGCGGCGAAGGCGGGUUGCUGGGCUGAUACUGACGCUGAGGCGCGAAAGCCAGGGAGCGAACGGG